CCCUUAGAUGUUCUGGGCCGCACGCGCGCUACAAUGGUCUUCGCAAACGGAUGCAUUCUCGAAGGAGAAUGCCAAUCUUGGAAUCUAUGCCUUGGUCGGGACAGUUGCUUGCAAUUUUUCGACUCGAACCAGGAAUUCCUUGUAAUCGUGAUUCAUCACAUCACGAUGAAUAUGUCCCUGCCCUUUGUACACACCGCCCGUCGCUCCUACCGAUCGAAGAGUUAGGUGAAUUGUUUUGAUCGAUAAGAUUUGACUAUGGUCAACUCUCGUUGUGAAAUUCUGUGAAUCUGACUGUUUAGAGGAAGGAAAAGUCGUAACA
RNAcentral lists this ribosomal RNA (319 nucleotides) under uncultured eukaryote. RNAcentral describes it as "partial 18S ribosomal RNA". It matches the Rfam family "Eukaryotic small subunit ribosomal RNA", at positions 1470 to 1796 of the family's 1831-position model. The record is from RNAcentral.